UGACUGAAAAGAGAAAACCAGAAGUAGAAAAAAAAAACACAUUAUUAAAAAUCUAACAAGUGAGCUUUGUUGUCGAAACAGAAACUGACAGCUACCACCCAAAAUUUUCUUGAAGUAGAAUCGAUAAAAUUUUUCAGAGAUGUGCAAGAUAAGCGUAACUAAACUGAUUCUGACAGGUAAAAAAUUAUCAAAGGCUAUGCCGUCUAGCGCCAGAAAAAAGAAACGUUUAACAGUAACAUGAAAAAAUGUCCGCUCUAGCUCGUUGAUACCAUGUUUGACACUCAAUUGAAAGAACUAACAAACAAAGGUUUUGAUACUCACAUAAUAUUCUCCCCUUCAAAUUUGUAUCUCGUCUUCACCCAAAAAUGAAAAAUCCACCACCGCAGCAUCACAGCACAUCACAACAGACGAAAUCCUCAAGGUUGCGAUGGUCAUUGAUGAAUUGGAGAGCAGCAUAGGAAUGUGACAGCUUUGUCUGGGUCUGGGCUGAAUGCCCUACUAGGUAGAAUCCUCUUGGGAAACUUCGUACUUCCAAAAAUCAAAACAAAUUUAGAUUAGGAUUUUGAGGUGGGAGAUCCAUUUGCUUGUCUAUCAAAUAAUUUGAGAUCACAACAAAGUCUGAGCUUCAUUGCUGUCAUGCAGAUGGUUUCAUGCAGCCACCCGGUGAAAAGGGAGUUCAAGUUGAGCUGCAGCUGCUGCAAGCAGUCUGUAGCGGUGAUGUCAUCCUGAAGUGUUCUCAAUGUGUCAGUCUAGGCUGAAGCUAAUUAAAGUGUGCUGUUCAAGUCUUAUCACAGACAUCAAGCACAUUGAUAACAAAUUAUGAAGAGGGGUCUAAACUACAUGUUUCUAAAUUUGCAUACCAGACUUUAUGAAAAGUCAUGUCGUUUGAAGAAGAAGGACGAUGACUACACAGUCGACAAGGUCCCUUGUUUGAAAACCCGUUGGCUGCUACCUGUGAAUCUUCCUUUUUACUUCCUUUAACGGGCCCUCUUAAUUGAGGGUAACUCUUUGCUACUGAUCUUCCACUGGACCCGACUUCAUCCAUUGAUGAAAGCUGACGAGAGAAUGCUGUAAUUCAAGACUGAUAAAUUGUGUAGUUGUUAGAUUACAUUGCAAGUGCAUUUCUGGGCUCCCUUCUUUUCUGUGGCCCCGUUUCCCUAUCUAACCACUAACCAACGCCCGCCGGUGGUCACUCACCCGCUGUGAAACCAGGAGGAGGG
Molecule: long non-coding RNA, 1220 nt
Organism: Daphnia pulicaria
Lineage: Eukaryota; Metazoa; Arthropoda; Branchiopoda; Diplostraca; Daphniidae
Exons: 6
Source: RefSeq, a predicted model, not a curated record